RNAcentral lists this long non-coding RNA (1095 nucleotides) under Olea europaea (common olive). Its description in RNAcentral is "long non-coding RNA (OEUR_LNC000079)". Lineage: Eukaryota; Viridiplantae; Streptophyta; Magnoliopsida; Lamiales; Oleaceae. The record is from RNAcentral.
GGUUGAUCGUAAUUUUUCAACUGAUCAAGAACCGGAUGUCGUUCAGACCAGGAUAAUUAGAUUCUAUUUCGAAUCGUUGUGUGCGAGGUAAUUAAUUUCCUCUUCUAUGCCACAGUGUAUUGUCCACUCUCUGUAAUGCUUAUCUUGUAAUCUAAUGCAAUAUAUUGGUGGAUUCAUUACUUAACAUUGAAGCUCCGUCCUGUGUUAUAGCUGGAAGUUUGUUUCCUUUUUCCAUCUAAACCAUUUCGAAGGAUUAUUCUUGACAUCUUUAGCACUACCAUUCAUCUUAUAAUUUGUGAAAGGAAAAUUGGCCGUUUCCUCAACUGCACUUUGAAUUUUAUCAUUAUAAUUUUGCAUUCCUGUUAUGGACAAGUAUCUUUGCUCUAGAAGCAUCCGUGUAUUCGUGUCAAUAUCUGCAUAGAACAGUGAGGAAGGACUGACAGCUUUCCUUUUUAGGGAUGAAACCGAGUUCCCGCUUACAGAUGUGAAAGAGGAUUGCCGUCGUGCUACUUGCUUCUUAAUUACUGCAUCCAUAAAUAUCGAGGGUCGAAAGCUCAUUUUUUAUGCAUUUCAUAUCAGUCUAUCAAAAAUAUUUUUCUGAAAAAUUUCAGGUGAUUCAGUAAUUAGGAUAAAGGGGAUCAUCUUAGUCUCAAGAUGAAGGCUCUAAUUCUCGUUGGAGGGUUUGGUACUCGUUUGAGGCCAUUGACACUUAGGAUGUGUUUGAUUACAUUUAUUUUCCAUGGAAAAUAUCAGUUUUUCACCCAAAUUUCUGUUUGGAGUGUUCGAUUGUUAUUUUUUUCUAUGGAAAACAUUUUCCAACUUUUGAAAAUAUGCCUAAUUUUCCUUGUUUUUAAGGAAAACAUUUUCCUUGGGUAGGGGUGAUUUUUAUUUUCCACAAAAGAUGGAAAACAUUUUCUUUUCUAUGUGAUAUUUUUCAUGCCAGUCAAACACAUUCUUAAUGUCCCCAAGCCACUCGUUGAAUUUGCUAACAAGCCCAUGAUCUUGCAUCAGGUUCCAUUUUCUUGUCUAUUAUUCUUCUAUUAUGCUCAUUAUGCCUACUUCUAUUGAAGUCAGCUCUUCAAUUUGCUAUGCANN